CUUCACGGAACCCAGCCACAGCGGGCGGUCAUCGGGCCGGUCCUGGCCGUACGUGGCCAGCAGCGCCUGCGCCUC
RNAcentral lists this antisense RNA (75 nucleotides) under Streptomyces sp. CNZ288. RNAcentral's name for it is "ASpks TB sRNA". It matches the Rfam family "ASpks TB sRNA". The record is from RNAcentral. Lineage: Bacteria; Bacillati; Actinomycetota; Actinomycetes; Kitasatosporales; Streptomycetaceae.